This 201-nucleotide unclassified non-coding RNA is filed under the name Scedosporium apiospermum. RNAcentral describes it as "internal transcribed 2". The record is from RNAcentral. Lineage: Eukaryota; Fungi; Ascomycota; Sordariomycetes; Microascales; Microascaceae.
UCAACCCUCGAACCUCCGUUUCCUCAGGGAAGCCCAGGGUCGGUGUUGGGGCGCUACGGCGAGUCUUCGCGACCCCCGUAGGCCCUGAAAUACAGUGGCGGUCCCGCCGCGGUUGCCUUCUGCGUAGUAAGUCUCUUUUGCAAGCUCGCAUUGGGUCCCGGCGGAGGCCUGCCGUCAAACCACCUAACAACUCCAGAUGGU